This is an RNA transcript of Panthera uncia (snow leopard), 8328 nucleotides long. It is a transcript of the gene named poly(ADP-ribose) polymerase family member 4, with no coding region annotated. The transcript is spliced from 33 exons. The record is from RefSeq and is a predicted model, not a curated record. Lineage: Eukaryota; Metazoa; Chordata; Mammalia; Carnivora; Felidae.
GAAACCCUACCCGAGCCCAACGCCUCACUCCUGGGCGACCGCCCGCAAUCUUCAGGCUGGGAGCCCUAGGUCCUCGGGGGCGCGGCCUUGGGAGGCAGCCAAGGGCGGGCUUCCGGCAGCGUUCUCCCUGGCUGGGCUUGGCUGCCGCACCCCGGUUCAGCGCCGGAGCCUGGAGCCGGGAAUCCGGAAUCCGGAAGCAAUCCCGGCAGGAGCGCUGGUAGCCGAGAACGGCGGCUGCGGGGACGUCGGAAUCCGGGAGCACCAGGAGCCGGGGGCGUGCAGAGUGGGCGGGAUUCCCUGGCAGGAUGACUGUGGGGAUCUUUGCAAAUUGUACCUUCUGUUUGAAAGUCAAGCACUUACCUCGUCAACAGAAGAAAAAGCUACAAAAUGACAUUAAGGAGAAUGGUGGAAAAUUUUCCUUUUUAUUAAAUCCUCAGUGCACACAUAUAAUCUUAGAUAAUGCUGAUGUUCUGAGCCAGUAUCAACUGAACUCUAUCCAAAAGAACCAUAUCCAUAUAACAAACCCAGAUUUUAUAUGGGAAUCUAUCAAAGAAAGGAGACUCUUGGACGUAACGAAUUAUGAUCCUCAUAAGUCACCAGACAUCACACCACCUCCUUGUCAAAAGGCAAGAAGUUCUGAAAUGACAACAGAUGAUCUGUCCCAGGACAACUCCACUGAGAAGGAAAACGUUGUGGAACUCACAGAGUCUUAUACAGAGAAUGCUGAAAUUCCUCAUUUUCCACAAGAUUUCGAAGUUGCAAAAUAUAACACCUUGGAAAAAGUUGGGGCGGAGGGUGGUAAGGCAGUGGCGGUGGUGGAGCUGCAGUGCUCCCGGGAGGAGCCCGGGGACGCCGCCUUCCUGAUAUCCGCACACUUCCUCUCGGCCACCGGCGUCAAGACUAGAAGACACUUCUCUGUAAAGAAAACCUCUGCAGACGCAAGUGAGCACUAUGAAAAUUACAUUGAAGAACUGAAGAAACAAGGAUUUCUGCUAAGGGAAUAUUUUACACCCGAAGCAACCCAGUUGGCAUCUGAAAAACUGCAGGCGUUGCUUUUGGAGGAGGUAAUGAAUUCAAGCACUCUGAGCAAAGAGGUGAGCGAUUUGGUGGAGAUGGUCUGGGCGGAAGCUCUCGGCCACCUGGAGCACACACUUCUCAAGCCUGCGAACAGGAUUAGUCUCAAUGACGUGAGCAAGGCAGAGGGAGUUCUCCUUCUAGUAAAGGCAGCCCUGAAAAAUGGAGAAACAGAAGAACAAUUGCAAAAUAUGAUGACCGAGUUCUACAGAUUAAUACCUCACAGAGGCACAGCAACCGAAGAAGUGAACCUGAGACUAUUAGCUAAGAAAGAGGACCUCUGCCAGCUAAUAAGAGACAUGGUUAAUGUCUGUGAAACUAAUCUGUCCAGACCCAACCCGCCUUCUCUUGCCAAAUACCGAGCUUUGAGAUGCAAAAUUGAGCAUGUUGAACAGAACACUGAAGAAUUUUUCAGAGUUAGAAAAGAGGUUUUACAGAAUAAUCACAGUACAGGUCCAGUAGACAUCUUGCAGAUAUUUAGAGUUGGCAGAGUGAAUGAAGCCACAGAGUUUUUGAGCCAGCUUGGCAAUGUGAAGCCCUUACUGCAUGGAUCUCCCGUACAAAGCUUUGUAGGGAUCCUAUCCCGUGGGUUGCUUUUACCCAAAGUAGUUGAAGAUCGUGGCACAAAGAGAACAGACACUGGAAAUCUUGGGAGUGGGAUAUAUUUCAGCGAUUCACUCAGUACGGGUAUUAAGUACUCCCACCCGGGAGAGACCGAUGGCACCAGGCUCCUGGCUGUCUGUGACGUAGCCCUUGGAAAGUGUGCGGACUUACACAGAAAAGACUUCUCCUUGUCGGAAGCACCACCAGGUUAUGACAGUGUCCAUGGGGUUCGAGCAACAGCCACUGUCACCACGGACUUCGAGGAUGAUGAAUUUGUUGUGUAUAAAACCAAUCAGAUUAAAUUGAAAUAUAUCAUUAAAUUUUGCCUACCCGGAGAUGAAAUAAAGGACUUUCAUCCUUGUAAUACUACUGAAUUAGAAGAAUCCAGACCUGAGUUUUCAAAUUUUUCAAAGGUUGAAGAUUAUCAGUUACAAGAUGCCAAACCUUUCGGCAACAUCACGUCUGGCCUUCAGGAUUUCUCUGGCAAUUCAGUUCCUCUUGAGGAGGUUCACAUCAAAGGAAGAAUAAUAGACUUUGUAGCCCAGGUCAUUGUUUUUCAGACAUAUACAAAUCAAAGUUCUGUGCCCAUUGAGGCAAAAUAUAUUUUUCCCUUGGAUGAUAAGGCAGCUGUCUGUGGUUUUGAAGCAUUCAUCAAUGGGAAACACAUAGUAGGAGAGGUUAAAGAGAAGGAAGCAGCCCGCCGUGAAUACCGAGAAGCCAUCAGUCAAGGCCAUGGCGCUUACUUGAUGGACCAGGAUGCACCCGAUGUUUUUACUGUUAGUGUCGGAAAUCUACCCCCUAAGGCUAAGGUCCUGAUCAAAAUUACCUACAUCAUGGAACUCAGCAUCCAAGGCACCAGGGCCGUCUUCUUCAUGCCCGCCACCGUAGCACCCUGGCAACAGGACAGAGCUUUGAAUGAAAACAGUCAGGAUACAGUAGAGAAGAUUUAUGUAAAGGAAAUAGGAACAAAGCAAAGCUUCUCUUUGUGUAUGUCCAUUGAGAUGCCAUAUGUGAUUGAAUUCAUUUCUAGUGAUACACAUGAACUGAAACAAAAGAGUACAGACUGCAAAGCUGUAAUUAGCACCAUGGACGGUAGCUCCUUAGACAGCAAUGGAUUCUCCCUUCAUGUCGGUUUAUCUGAUGCACAUCUCCCAAGAAUGUGGGUCGAAAAACAUCCAGAAAAAGAAAGUGAGGCCUGCAUGCUUGUUUUUCAACCAGACCUCGAUAUCACACUCCCUGACCUAGCUGAGAACAAUGAAGUGAUUAUUUGUCUUGAUUGCUCCGUUUCCAUGGAGGGUGCGACAUUCUUGCAAGCCAAGCAAAUUGCCUUAUAUGCACUGUCCUUGGUGGGAAAGAAGCAAAAGAUAAACAUUGUCAAGUUUGGCACAGGUUACAAGGAAUUAUUUUCAUAUCCUAAGUACAUCACAAGCAACAAUGUGCCAACAGAGUUCAUUAUGUCUGCUACACCUACCAUGGGAAAUACAGACUUCUGGAAAACACUCCGGUAUUUAAAUUUACUGUACCCUUCUCAAGGGUUACGGAACAUUCUCCUUAUAUCUGAUGGGCACCUCCAGAAUGAGAGUCUGACAUUGCAGCUUGUGAAAAGAAAUGUCCAACACACCAGGCUGUUCUCCUGUGGUAUUGGUUCUACAGCAAAUCGUCAUAUCUUAAGGACUUUGUCCCAGUACGGUGCUGGAGUAUUUGAGUAUUUUAACUCAAAAUCCAAACACAGUUGGAAAAAACAGAUAGAAGACCAGAUGACCCGGUUGCAUUCUCCAAGUUGUCACUCUGUCUCCGUCAAGUGGCAGCAGCUAAGUGCAGAUGCACCUGAACCCCUGCAGGCCCCAGCCCAGGUGCAGUCCUUGUUCCUCAACCAUCGACUCCUUGUCUACGGAUUUAUUCCUCAUUGCACACAGGCAACUCUGUGUGCAUUAAUUCAAGAGAAACAAUUUUCUACGAUGGUAUCAACUACUGAACUUCAGAAGACAACUGGAACUAUGAUACACAAGCUGACAGCGCGAGCUCUGAUCCGAGAUUAUGAAGAUGGCAUUCUCCAUGAAAAUGAAACGAAUCAUGAGAUGAAGAAGCAAAUGUUAAAAUCUCUGAUUAUUAAACUCAGUAAAGAAAACUCUCUCAUAACACAAUUUACAAGCUUUGUGGCAGUUGAGAAAAGGGAUGGUAAGGAGGCACCUUCUCCUAAUAUUCCAAAUAUUAUGGAACUUAUUGCCAAAGAGGAUGUAGAUUUCCUGCCAUACAUGAGCUGGCAGGAGGAGCAACCAGAUGCCAGUGUGGUACAGCCUCUUGCAGCAUUCUCUGCACGGAAUGAAGAGCUGCGACAUCAUUUGACUAACAGAAAACUUGGAUCACCUGAGCUGGAAGUUUUUGAAGAUUUUGAAAAGGGUUGCUUCAGUUCCCCACUAUCAGAAAAAUCUUUAACACUCAAUUUCGCAUGGGAAGAUGUGGAAAUGCCAUUGGAUCUAAGUCAGAUGGAUUCAUUUAAGCAAACAGGAACUGAACCAUUAUAUAGAAGUGACCCUUUCCUAAAACAGGGUGCUUGCAGUAUUUCUGCUGCCCAGAGGUUAGCCUGUUUGGAAGUCGAGCCCGUAAUUGGUUCUCGUUUCCACUGUCCUUCCCACUUACAUCGUUCAAAGGUUUGUCUUGCUUCUCCUGCUAGUUCUGAACAGCCUGGUCCAUCUGAGAAUGACCAAGACCUUCAAACUGACAGUUGUAGUGAUUCUUCCCUUGAGUCAUCUACCGCUUUCAGACUGUCUGUCCUACCUUUGAGCUCCUUUGCUUGUGUUCCUUAUUCAGGUGACUCAUGUAACUUUGGACAGGUUGAUCUACCUUACAGUUAUCAAGGUCAUAAGACUGACAAUUGUGCUAGCAAUUCUCUUGAGUUGGACUCUCCCCCACAGCCGAAUACUUUUUUCUCUCCUCCUAGAGUUCCUUCCUCUGGUCUAUCCAGAGAGUUUGACUUUCAUUACCCUUCUGGUUCUCCUCUUUAUUUUCAAAAUUCCUCAGUUCAUUCGAGCACUGCUUACAAGCCACAGAUAGAUCUGUUUGCUAACACAGAAUUGGAGGCUUCUUCAGCAAAUGUUUGUGCCAUAAUUUCAUCAUCUACUUCAAGUAAUGGGCAUUUUUCUGAAACAAAAAAUGUUGAAACACCAAGAUUUCAGAAACGUUGUUUGGCAAAAUCUGUUCUAACAGGAAGUGCCUUUACUGCAAGCUUUCAGGCACAAAAAGAUGAACAAAGCUGGAUGAAUUUUGUGCCUUGGACCAAACUCUUCAGUCUACAAACUGAGGAUGGCUUCUGGAAACUUACAUCAGAACUGGGAUUUAUUUUAAACCUUAAUACAAAUAUUUUAAACAGCUUUCUUGAACAAAAAGGCAUUAGAUCUCUAGGUAAGUCACCAUUUUUCUAUUAAUUAAAUGGCAUGCUCUUAACUGUUGUAAAUUUUGUUGUAAACUAGUAUACUAAUAUGAUAAUUAUGUAAGUUACAUAUGAGUGGAAUUAUAUUUGUUAACCAUCAAAUGAAACAAGAGGACCAGUUUCUAGUCAUAUCUUUACCACUAAUUAGGGUAUUACCUGUGUAAGUUAAUUAGCAUAAGUAACAAUAACUUCUGUUUUAAAAAUCCAAACUUUCAGUAGCUUAACACAAAGAUUAUUUUCUUGCACAUAUCACAGUCAAAUAGUAGUCAGCAGGAAAAUUCCACUCCAAGUUUUCAUUUACAGACCCAGGCUCCUUCCAUAUUGUGGCUCUACCAUUAUCAAAAAUGUCUUUAAAAUUACUCUAGUGAAAAGGAAAGAAGAAAAUACUGCUCUGGCAUCACCUACCUGGUAGAUAGUAAGAGAAAGACAAACUGGGGCAGGAACUAGUCACAGAGCCCCUCCCAGAUACAAGAGGGCUGGGAAAUACACUUUAGCUUGGUGUCCAGGAAGAGAAAACAGCUUUGAUAAGUGUCUAGUCAGUCUUUGCCAGAGCAAGUUCAAUCUCUGUGGACCUGUUUCUUGUCAUGAUAAUGAAGGGGAUGGUUAAGCAAGUGGUUUGAAGGUCAAAUGCUAGUCUUAGGUUAAGACAUUUUUUUAAAUAAAAACACAUUAUUAAACAGUAGUCAGUAUUCAUUGAACAGCAGUGUCUAACUACCCUGCCAUCCCCUCAAAAAAGUCAGGGUUUUCAUACUCCAGGCUUAUUCCAGAGUUAGCAGGUCUUUGUUUGUUUGACUUGCACUACACCAAAAAGGAAAGGUGAAAAUUUGCAUGAGGAGAAUUCUACUUCCUGGAAUGAUAAAGGAGCUUGAAUCUGACUAAAUCUCUCACCAGUAAGAUUUAGUAAGCUCAUUGGGACCUCAUCAAAGUAAAAUCAGAUAAAGGGUUAGUAUCCAAAAUCUACAAAGAACUUAUCAAACUCAACACCCAAAAAACAAAUAAUCCAGUGAAGAAAUGGGCAAAAGAGGUGAAUAGACACUUCUCCAAAGAAGACAUCCAGAUGGCAAACCAACACAUGAAAAAAUGCUCAACAUCAUUCAUCAUCAGGGAAAUACAAAUCGAAACCACAAUGAGAUACCACCUCACCCUUCUCAGAAUGGCUAACAUGGACAACUCAGGCAACAACAUAUAUUGGCAAGGAUGCAGAGAAAGAGGAUCUCUUUUGCAUUGUUGGUGGCAAUGCAAGCUGGUGUAGCCACUCUGGAAAACAGUAUGGAGGUUCCUCAAAAAACUAAAAAUAGAACUACCCUACAACCUAGCAAUUGCACUACUAGGCAUUUAUCCACAGGAUACAGGUGUGCUGUUUCGAAGGGACACAUGCACCCCCAUGUUUAUAGCAGCACUAUCAACAAUAGCCAAAGUAUGGAAAGAGCCCAAAUGUCCAUCAAUGGAUGAAUGGAUAAAGAAGAUGUGGUAUAUAUAUACAAUGGAGUAUUACCCGGCAAUCAAAAAGAAUGAAAUUUGUCAUUUGCAACUACGUGGAAGGAACUGGAGGGUAUUAUACUAAGUGAAAUUAGUCAGUCAGAGAAAGACAAAAAUCAUAUGACUUCACUCAUAUGAGGACUUUAAGAGACAAAACAGAUGAACGUAAGGGAAGGGAAACAAAAAUAAUAUAAAAACAGAGAGGGGGACAAAACCGAAGAGACUCUUAAAUACGGAGAACAAACUGAGGGUUAUUGGAGGGGUUGUGGGAGAGGGGAUGGGCUAAAUGGGUAAGGGGCAUUAAGGAAUCUACUCCUGAAAUCAUUGCUUCACUAUAUGCUAAUUUGGAUGUAAAUUUUAAAAAAAUAAAAAAUAAAAUUAAAAAAUUUAAAAAAAAACACAAAGAUUUAAAAAAAUCUUAAAAAAAUAUUUAGUAAGCUCAGAUAAAGUAUUUUAAAACCACUCUUUUAAGGCCUGGAAUGCAAUAAAAAAAAAAACAGGCAGAAACUAGAAGGAUCAAAAUCCCUGAAAAAAGGAAGAAAAUGAGGUGAGUUCUACAUUUACCUAACUAUUCACCCAAAGGUACUUCUCAGUUCAUGAGGCACAUGAGAGGUUAGAACUGAAAUGGAAAGUCUUAAUGGGAUAAUGACAUAGGAGUCAGAAUUCAAGGCUGCCAGAGUGGCUGGAAAAUAAGAGUGAAACUCCUAAAAAGGAAGGAGCCACAGAGCCCAGAGCUCUGAAAUCUGCAUACAGAUUCCCUCAGAUUGUUGGCUCUCCCCUAACCUGUACAUACACGUGACUUCAAGGAAUCCAGAAAAAAAGCAACAGCUGGAGAGAAAAAGAGCAGAGAUUCCAGCUGCUGCCAGGUGUUGGGGAGACAGAGUUUGGUGUUUGAAUUAUACCAAAUUAGAAUUGACAAACAUCUUGGGGUGCCUGCGUGGCUCAGUCGGUUAAGCAUCCCACUUUGGCUCAGGUCAUGAUCUUGUGGUUCCUGAGUUCAAGCCUUGUGUUGGGCUCUGUGCUGACAGCUCAGAGCCUGGAGCCUGCUUUGGAUUCUGUGUCUCCCUCUCUGCCCCUCCCCGACUCACGUGUGUGCGCUCUCUCUCAAAAAUAAAUAAGCAUUAAAAAAAAUUUUUAACAACAAAAAAAUAACUUGUAAACAUCUCAAGUUUUCUACUAAAACCCAAAAAGGGUAAAAAGGACCAUAAAUCAAGGAAAAAACAAAAUUGGCCCCUUAACAAAGCCUAAAACAAAGCUUUCACAGGAUACACCAGAACAUAACUCAACACUCUUUUGAAUAAGAUAACAUACUUCAGGGGCUCCACAACCUUCAAUGUACAGUAUAGAAUGAAAAUUUAAUAACAUACAAAGAAGCAGGAAAAUAUGACUUAUAAUCUAGGGGGAAAUAGCCUAUUGAUGAUGACCUCCAGGUGCCCCAGAUGUUGGAAUUAGCAGAUAAGGAUUUUAAAACUGCUAUUAUAAAUACAGUAAAGGUUUACCAGAAAAUAAUGGGUGAACAAAUGGGAGAAUCUCAGCAAAUAGAUGGAAACUCUAAGAAUCAAAUGAAAAUUCUAGAACUGGAAAAUAAAAUUAUCUUCAAUGGAAAGGUCAUUGGAUGGGCUUAACUGCAGAAUGAACAAAACAGAAAAAAGUAUCAGGUAUAAAAGGAAGCGAGCGUCUCCUGGACCUGAUCGCCACAUUUCUGGUACUGCAGUUUCUUCGUACCAAGUUGGAACAAAAGG